CUUGGGGUGGGGGGAGCUUCAGCCCAGAUUGCGAGAGGGUGCAGGCCAGACCGAGGGACCCUACCGGUGCACA
Molecule: microRNA precursor, 73 nt
Filed under: Myotis davidii
Lineage: Eukaryota; Metazoa; Chordata; Mammalia; Chiroptera; Vespertilionidae
Description: mir-9193 microRNA precursor family
Rfam family: mir-9193 microRNA precursor family
Source: Rfam by way of RNAcentral